GAUGAAGAACGUAGUGAAAUGCGAUAACUAAUGUGAAUUGCAGAAUUCAGUGAAUCAUCGAGUCUUUGAACGCACAUUGCGCCCCCUGGUAUUCCGGGGGGCAUGCCUGUCCGAGCGUCAUUGCUGCCCUCAAGCACGGCUUGUGUGUUGGGCCUCCGUCCUCCUCCCGGGGGACGGGCCCGAAAGGCAGCGGCGGCACCGCGUCCGGUCCUCGAGCGUAUGGGGCUUCGUCACCCGCUCUUGUAGGCCCGGCCGGCGCUUGCCGACACAUCAAUCUUUUUUCCAGGUUGACCUCGGAUCAGGUAGGGAUACCCGCUGAACUUAAGCAUAUCAAUAAGCGGAGGA
This 345-nucleotide unclassified non-coding RNA is filed under the name soil metagenome. RNAcentral's name for it is "partial contains 5.8S ribosomal RNA, internal transcribed spacer 2, and large subunit ribosomal RNA". The stretch from base 1 to 120 matches the Rfam family "5.8S ribosomal RNA", at positions 35 to 154 of the family's 154-position model. The record is from RNAcentral.